GUUCAACCCCUUCCCCUAAUA
Molecule: transfer RNA, 21 nt
Filed under: Loriculus galgulus
Lineage: Eukaryota; Metazoa; Chordata; Aves; Psittaciformes; Psittacidae
Description: partial tRNA-Met
Source: RNAcentral